This is a long non-coding RNA of Balaenoptera acutorostrata (minke whale), 321 nucleotides long. RefSeq lists it as uncharacterized. The transcript has 3 exons. Lineage: Eukaryota; Metazoa; Chordata; Mammalia; Artiodactyla; Balaenopteridae. The record is from RefSeq and is a predicted model, not a curated record.
UGGCUUAUGGGGCUGACAUUGGUUCUGGGACCAGAGACGCUGUUUGGGGCAGCUGGUCCUGGAGAGUGGGGGUGCCCAGAGCUGCCACGUUCAUGAUAAGGAUGCUUUUGCAAGUUGCCAAGGACCAAAGGAUCCCCAAGCACCCAUGGAGAACCAGACUCAGCUUCUGUUGCUUGCCGCCAGGAAUCCUGGCCCACGGAAAGUGAAACUUGCACUCAUGCCCAGAAGCAGCUGGUCUUGGGCAUCUUCCUUCUGAGCAACUGGUCUUAUUUUGUGGACACUGACUUGUCUUGGUGAUCUCGGGCAAGGGCCUUCUUCCUU